This is a long non-coding RNA of Neogale vison (American mink), 288 nucleotides long. RefSeq lists it as uncharacterized. The record is from RefSeq and is a predicted model, not a curated record. NCBI's taxonomy places the organism in Eukaryota, Metazoa, Chordata, Mammalia, Carnivora, Mustelidae. The transcript is spliced from 3 exons.
CCUGAUGCGCUUACUAGAGUGCCCAGAAACUUUCAAAGCCUUGUGCAGAAAAUCUUAGUCUGCGCCUCUGCAUGCUCAGGGCUCGGAAUUGGGCUCAGGUCCUGUGUCUCCAACCUUCCUUCUUGAAUCCCGAAAGAUGUGCACAUCUACCCAUGGGACCCACCUGCCACAGAGAACCUCGCAGCCAGGCAAGUCCAGCUUGAAAAGCAGCAACAGUGAAUGUGUCUCGUGCUCCACAAGGCUGGGAUGAGUUGAGAAGGCCCGUGGCCUGGAAUGCCACACUGCGUU